RNAcentral lists this ribosomal RNA (29 nucleotides) under Physcia leptalea. RNAcentral's name for it is "18S ribosomal RNA". Lineage: Eukaryota; Fungi; Ascomycota; Lecanoromycetes; Caliciales; Physciaceae. The record is from RNAcentral.
GGAANCUGCGGAAGGAUCAUUAUCGAGAG